UUGCGGUCUUACUUUGGAGAGAGAGCGCACGCAGCAUGCAUCACAUCCCUCUCCUAGAAAGAAUGACAAGUCCUGAAAGGAGGAACGGAAUGUGCCGAGGGCGGCGGGGCGUGCAAGCGGAGCGCCGAACCUCGGACUUCUCGCGGUUUUUUUUUUCUUUGUCACCGCGCUGGGGAGGGAAGCGAGCUCCGUGGCGUGCGGGAGUUCCCUUCCCGCGAAAUCGUAGCUCUUUCGAGCGAGGAAACACUACGCAGAGGCGGGCAUUGGGCAAGCACUCAGAAGCAUUUCGUUUGCCUUGAUCCUGGAGGCGCGCGGCCGUCUCCCGCUGCCGAGGAUUUGACGCGAACUCGUAAGUGACAUUCUAUUUCCUCGGUGUAUCGUAUGGUGACUUCUGUCUAGCGACAAAAUCAAAUUUUAUUUGCGCACUUGAUGCGUCAAUCUGGUCGUCUCUUCUAGCGGGCAGAUAAGAAAUGUUCAGGCGAACGGUGGUUAUAUUUGUCCGUGGACCCAAGACAUCGUUGACGGGCAAAUAUGAACACUGCAACAAGGACUGGUGUGGAUAGCGUGCUGCGCUGGUCUCGUCAACUGAAAAGAAUUCUGUGACAUUACGAGCCAACAAGGAAAACCUCAAUCCAUCCUGUCUCCACAUAUUAUCAAGUUUGUGCACUGUGGAGCUUGAAGCACUUCUCAGAAUUUCAGCACACUCGCAUUUAUUUCUUCUCCGACAGAAGAACAAUGCAAGUCUCACAUCUUGAUGAGGGUGGCGAUUUACCCUCUCACAUCUCGACGGUAAAACGUCGCAUCUGCGUACGUGUUCAGGGCCAAGAGCACGAGAACUGGCCGAAAGAAGGGAGCCGAUCCAACAAGAAUGCCGUCCGUUUUAUAUAUAUGUCAGCGCUAUCACGCAGCGAUCACAUGGACUGUACGGUUGCGUUGCACAAGGGCUGAUGCAAACGCUCCGUGCGAACAAUGUUGCAUGUAAAAUUAGUACAUCUAUACAAUUGCAAAAUAAACAUAU
Molecule: long non-coding RNA, 1018 nt
Organism: Rhipicephalus sanguineus (brown dog tick)
Lineage: Eukaryota; Metazoa; Arthropoda; Arachnida; Ixodida; Ixodidae
Exons: 4
Source: RefSeq, a predicted model, not a curated record